CGCAGGCGGUUUCUUAAGUCUGAUGUGAAAGCCCCCGGCUCAACCGGGGAGGGUCAUUGGAAACUGGGAGACUUGAGUGCAGAAGAGGAGAGUGGAAUUCCAUGUGUAGCGGUGAAAUGCGUAGAUAUAUGGAGGAACAGCAGUGGCGAAGGCGGCUCUCUGGUCUGUAACUGACGCUGAAGGCUCGAAAGCGUGGGGAGCAAACAGGAUUAGAUACCCUGGUAGUCCACGCCGUAAACGAUGAGUGGCAAGUGUUGGAGGGUUUCCGCCCUUCAGUGCUGCAGCUUACGCAUUAAGCACUCCGCCUGGGGAGUACGACCGCAAGGUUGAAACUCAAAGGAAUUGACGGGGGCGGGCACAAGCGGUGGAG
Molecule: ribosomal RNA, 370 nt
Filed under: Enterococcus faecalis
Lineage: Bacteria; Bacillati; Bacillota; Bacilli; Lactobacillales; Enterococcaceae
Description: bacterial SSU rRNA
Rfam family: Bacterial small subunit ribosomal RNA
Source: RNAcentral